CUCAUUGAAUUGCACGUUGAAUUUUAUAAUUGCAGUUAACAUGGUUAAGUGAAAAGAAAAACUUUUUAAUUUGUAACACUGUUGAUAUUUGUUAUAAUUCCUAAACUCUUCGCUCCUUCUCUCUCCCAAAAAAAUCUCGGUACUAGCAAUAUCUUCACAGUCCGCUUAAACUCGCUGGAGACGAGGAAGGACUUGAAUUUCCUGUUCUAGUCUCCGUGGAGUUUCGUUUCUUCAGCUUUGAUAGUAUGUUAGUCUCUUGGAUAGCUCUAUCUGGGAUUUGCAAUUUUCUGAUCGAAGGGUCAUCAAUUCAUCAUCAAUUGAAAUAACCAAAGGUUCUUGGGUUAAUUGAGUACCCUAGCGUUCGGUGUUUAGUGAUUCCGUCAGGCCUUUCCAAAGAUGAGCAUACACAAAGUUUGGUAUUUCGUGGCCAACAACCGGUACCCCUAAUUGCCAGUCUGGAAAUGGAUUACGUUAAAGGAAAAGCAAAACAUGCUCAAGUUUUAAGAAAAUAGAUAGUUAACAAAAGGAGAAAUCGAUGCGUAUCAUCCUCUGGACCGUUCCUAAGAGAGGUUAGAAGACCAGUCAAAAGACCCAUGACAGUUAUAAUUGAGACUUCACCCAACUCAACAAGUGUACAUCCUACUCCAAGUCGCGGAAGAGAACAGUGUCGUCAAAGUGAGAACGAACAACUGACGAUAUCAGAAGAUACAGAUCAACGGGUCGGAAACCUAAACUCAGAAUCACCAAAUGGUAAAAGAAAAGUAUUGUAGGUCAUGUUUAAUGAUUGUUUAUAUUUUUCGUCCACACAGUAGGUAAUCACAUUUUGAAAGACAAAUAUUGAGCAAACACAAAGUUUGGGAUUUCAUUGCCAACAACCUAUACCCCACACUACCAGACUGGACAUAGAUUAUGUUAAAGGCA
Spinacia oleracea (spinach) is the source of this 921-nucleotide long non-coding RNA. RefSeq lists it as uncharacterized. NCBI's taxonomy places the organism in Eukaryota, Viridiplantae, Streptophyta, Magnoliopsida, Caryophyllales, Amaranthaceae. The transcript has 4 exons. The record is from RefSeq and is a predicted model, not a curated record.